RNAcentral lists this transfer-messenger RNA (354 nucleotides) under Arenicellaceae. RNAcentral's name for it is "UBA10349 sp003485905 Standard tmRNA". It matches the Rfam family "transfer-messenger RNA". From Rfam's summary of the family: Bacterial tmRNA, also known as 10Sa RNA or SsrA, is named for its dual tRNA and mRNA-like properties. Its role is to liberate the mRNA from a stalled ribosome. To accomplish this part of the tmRNA is used as a reading frame that ends in a translation stop signal. RNAcentral also lists the same sequence under 2 other names. Lineage: Bacteria; Pseudomonadati; Pseudomonadota; Gammaproteobacteria; Arenicellales. The record is from RNAcentral.
GGGGGCGACAUGGCUUCGACGUGGGUCGCGAAACCUUCGGUGCAUGUCGAGGUGUAGAGUUCCUCGUAAAUCCAUCUACAAAAGUUAUAGUUGCAAACGACGAUAACUACGCUCUAGCAGCUUAGGCUAGCUAGCCUCUCACUCGGUUUAUCUAUGGGCUGAGAUUCGAGGGGUCAAAUUACAUAGAAUCGCAUCACCCUGUGUCUGUUAGGUCUGAUGUUAAAUUCAAGCAGACUCGCCAGUCUUGCGGUUUGUCUGUUGUCAGCAACCUGGUUAACUUAACAAUAGACUAAACAUGUAGAUCCGGUGGCAGAGGGCUUGCGGACGCGGGUUCGAUUCCCGCCGCCUCCACCA